Molecule: transfer-messenger RNA, 350 nt
Filed under: Oscillospiraceae
Lineage: Bacteria; Bacillati; Bacillota; Clostridia; Eubacteriales
Also listed under: 1 other name
Description: Ruminiclostridium_E sp017635675 Standard tmRNA
Rfam family: transfer-messenger RNA
About the family: Bacterial tmRNA, also known as 10Sa RNA or SsrA, is named for its dual tRNA and mRNA-like properties. Its role is to liberate the mRNA from a stalled ribosome. To accomplish this part of the tmRNA is used as a reading frame that ends in a translation stop signal.
Source: RNAcentral
GGGGGCGUAAAGGUUUCGACGGGGGUCAUGAAGCCGGUUAAGCACGCGGAGUUCUCCUAAACUCCUUAAUAAUGGGUAACUUAAAUUUAAACGCAGAUUAUAACGAUCUCGCUCUCGCUGCCUGAGUGCAGCGCGUCCGCCCGAUGAGUGCUGCGGCUUCGGGUCGGGCGUAACACAGCAGCCAACGCUUCGGGUGAGAGCUCUGUAACCCGUCGCGCUCUCAAAGAGCUGCCCAAUGCCUAUCCUGUCGUUCGGAGAGACUGCGGGGAGAUCCAAAUGACCGACUAAGCGUGUAGAAAGACCUGUGGAUCGGCUUUCGGACGCGAGUUCGACUCUCGCCGCCUCCACCA